This is a long non-coding RNA of Oncorhynchus keta (chum salmon), 1878 nucleotides long. RefSeq lists it as uncharacterized. The record is from RefSeq and is a predicted model, not a curated record. NCBI's taxonomy places the organism in Eukaryota, Metazoa, Chordata, Actinopteri, Salmoniformes, Salmonidae. The transcript has 3 exons.
GGGAUGCAGAGAACAGACAGACAGACCAUGCUUAGUGAGGUGACGUUUUUAAUUGAGCAGUGAUGACCGGUAGAACCACGACCGUGUGUCAUCACUAGAUUCUAGAGCAGUGAUGACCGGUAGAACCACGACCAUGUGUCAUCACUACAUUCUAGAGCAGUGAUGACCGGUAGAACCACGACCAUGUCUCAUCACUAGAUUCUAGAGCAGCAGACAGUGACGACCGGUAGAACCACGACCAUGUGUCAUCACUAGAUUCUAGAGCAGCAGACAGUGACGACCGGUAGAACCACGAACAUGUCUCAUCACUAGAUUCUAGAGCAGUGAUGACCGGUAGAACCACGACCAUGUGUCAUCACUACAUUCUAGAGCAGUGAUGACCGGUAGAACCACGAACGUGUAUCAUCACUACAUUCUAGAGCAGUGAUGACCGGUAGAACCACGACCAUGUCUCAUCACUACAUUCUAGAGCAGUGAUGACCGGUAGAACCACGACCAUGUGUCAUCACUACAUUCUAGAGCAGUGAUGACCGGUAGAACCACGACCAUGUGUCAUCACUACAUUCUAGAGCAGUGAUGACCGGUAGAACCACGAACGUGUAUCAUCACUACAUUCUAGAGCAGUGAUGACCGGUAGAACCACGACCAUGUGUCAUCACUACAUUCUAGAGCAGUGAUGACCGGUAGAACCACGAACAUGUGUCAUCACUAGAUUCUAGAGCAGUGAUGACCGGUAGAACCACGACCAUGUGUCAUCACUACAUUCUAGAGCAGUGAUGACCGGUAGAACCACGACCAUGUCUCAUCACUAGAUUCUAGAGCAGCAGACAGUGACGACCGGUAGAACCACGACCAUGUGUCAUCACUAGAUUCUAGAGCAGCAGACAGUGACGACCGGUAGAACCACGAACAUGUCUCAUCACUAGAUUCUAGAGCAGUGAUGACCGGUAGAACCACGACCAUGUGUCAUCACUACAUUCUAGAGCAGUGAUGACCGGUAGAACCACGAACGUGUAUCAUCACUACAUUCUAGAGCAGUGAUGACCGGUAGAACCACGACCAUGUGUCAUCACUACAUUCUAGAGCAGUGAUGACCGGUAGAACCACGAACAUGUGUCAUCACUAGAUUCUAGAGCAGUGAUGACCGGUAGAACCACGACCAUGUGUCAUCACUACAUUCUAGAGCAGUGAUGACCGGUAGAACCACGACCAUGUCUCAUCACUAGAUUCUAGAGCAGCAGACAGUGACGACCGGUAGAACCACGACCAUGUGUCAUCACUAGAUUCUAGAGCAGCAGACAGUGACGACCGGUAGAACCACGAACAUGUGUCAUCACUAGAUUCUAGAGCAGCAGACAGUGACGACCGGUAGAACCACGAACAUGUGUCAUCACUACAUUCUAGAGCAGUGAUGACCGGUAGAACCACGACCAUGUCUCAUCACUAGAUUCUAGAGCAGUGAUGACCGGCUGCAGCGAUAUUUCACUCUUUAUUUGUCAUUAAAACAGUCUCCAUAUACAGUAUACUUCCCAUUCAUUUCAUUCCCAAAUGGUACCGGGGGACAAUCAGGGGCACAGAAAUCGACUCUAGGGUGUUAAACAGCAUGGUCCUUCUGUGGCUCAGUGGGUAGAGCAUGGCGCUUGUAACGCCAGGGUAGUGGGUUCGAUCCCCGGGACCACCCAUACGUAGAAUGUAUGCACACAUGACUGUAAGUCGCUUUGGAUAAAAGCGUCUGCUAAAUGGCAUAUAUUAUUUAUUAUUAUUAUUAUUACACAGGUGCACCUUGUGCUGGGGAUAAUAAAAGGCCCCACUGAAAUGUCCAGUUUGUCCUCACAACACCACAGAUGUUUUGAGGGAGCGUGCAAUUGGCAUGCUGAC